GAUGAACGCUGGCGGCGUGCCUAAUACAUGCAAGUCGAGCGAACAGACGAGGAGCUUGCUCCUCUGACGUUAGCGGCGGACGGGUGAGUAACACGUGGAUAACCUACCUAUAAGAUUGGGAUAACUUCGGGAAACCGGAGCUAAUACCGGAUCAUAUAUUGAACCGCAUGGUUCAAUAGUGAAAGACGGUUUUGCUGUCACUUAUAGAUGGAUCCGCGCCGCAUUAGCUAGUUGGUAAGGUAACGGCUUACCAAGGCAACGAUGCGUAGCCGACCUGAGAGGGUGAUCGGCCACACUGGAACUGAGACACGGUCCAGACUCCUACGGGAGGCAGCAGUAGGGAAUCUUCCGCAAUGGGCGAAAGCCUGACGGAGCAACGCCGCGUGAGUGAUGAAGGUCUUCGGAUCGUAAAACUCUGUUAUUAGGGAAGAACAAAUGUGUAAGUAACUAUGCACGUCUUGACGGUACCUAAUCAGAAAGCCACGGCUAACUACGUG
RNAcentral lists this ribosomal RNA (497 nucleotides) under uncultured bacterium. RNAcentral describes it as "partial 16S ribosomal RNA". It matches the Rfam family "Bacterial small subunit ribosomal RNA", at positions 28 to 507 of the family's 1533-position model. The record is from RNAcentral.